This 494-nucleotide ribosomal RNA is filed under the name uncultured bacterium. Its description in RNAcentral is "partial 16S ribosomal RNA". It matches the Rfam family "Bacterial small subunit ribosomal RNA", at positions 28 to 507 of the family's 1533-position model. The record is from RNAcentral.
GACGAACGCUGGCGGCGUGCUUAACACAUGCAAGUCGAACGGUGAAGCGCCUUCCUUUUUGGUGGGUGUGGAUGAGUGGCGAACGGGUGAGUAACACGUGAGUAACCUGCCCCCUUCUUCUGGAUAACCGCAUGAAAGUGUGGCUAAUACGGGAUAUUCUGGGUCUGUCGCAUGAUGGGUCUGGGAAAGAUAUUGUUUCGGUGGGGGAUGGGCUCGCGGCCUAUCAGCUUGUUGGUGGGGUGAUGGCCUACCAAGGCGGUGACGGGUAGCCGGCCUGAGAGGGUGGACGGUCACACUGGGACUGAGACACGGCCCAGACUCCUACGGGAGGCAGCAGUGGGGAAUAUUGCACAAUGGGCGCAAGCCUGAUGCAGCGACGCCGCGUGAGGGAUGGAGGCCUUCGAGUUGUGAACCUCUUUCGCCAGUGAAGCAGGCCUGCCUCGUUUGUGGGUGGGUUGACGGUAGCUGGAGAAGAAGCGCCGGCUAACUACGUG